GAUGGCACUCUCAUUGGGCCUAAAGCGUCCGUAGCUGGCCGCGCAAGCCGUCGGGAAAUCCAUCAGCUCAACUGAUGGGCGUCCGGCGGAAACUGCACGGCUUGGGACCGGAAGGCUCGAGAGGUACGUCCGGGGUAGGAGUGAAAUCCCGUAAUCCCGAACGGACCACCGAUGGCGAAAGCAUCUCGAGAAAACGGAUCCGACAGUGAGGGACGAAAGCUAGGGUCUCGAACC
Molecule: ribosomal RNA, 234 nt
Filed under: uncultured archaeon
Lineage: Archaea
Description: partial 16S ribosomal RNA
Rfam family: Archaeal small subunit ribosomal RNA
Source: RNAcentral